CAGCAGCCGCGGUAAUACGUAGGGUGCGAGCGUUAAUCGGAAUUACCGGGCGUAAAGCGUGCGCAGGCGGUUCGUUAAGACAGAUGUGAGAUCCCCGGGCUUAACCUGGGAACUGCAUUUGUGACUGGCGAGCUAGAGUAUGGCAGAGGGGGGUAGAAUUCCACGUGUAGCAGUGAAAUGCGUAGAGAUGUGGAGGAAUACCGAUGGCGAAGGCAGCCCCCUGGGCCAAUACUGACGCUCAUGCACGAAAGCGUGGGGAGCAAACAGGAUUAGAUACCCCUGUAGUCCCUGUCUCUUAUAA
This 301-nucleotide ribosomal RNA is filed under the name uncultured bacterium. Its description in RNAcentral is "partial 16S ribosomal RNA". It matches the Rfam family "Bacterial small subunit ribosomal RNA", at positions 509 to 809 of the family's 1533-position model. The record is from RNAcentral.